Molecule: ribosomal RNA, 497 nt
Filed under: uncultured bacterium
Lineage: Bacteria
Description: partial 16S ribosomal RNA
Rfam family: Bacterial small subunit ribosomal RNA
Source: RNAcentral
GAUGAACGCUGGCGGCGUGCCUAAUACAUGCAAGUCGAGCGAACAGACGAGGAGCUUGCUCCACUGACGUUAGCGGCGGACGGGUGAGUAACGCGUGGAUAACCUACCUAUGAGCCUGGGAUAACUUCGGGAAACCGGAGCUAAUACCGGAUAAUAUCUUGAACCACAUGGUUCAAUAGUGAAAGACGCUUUUGCUUUCCCUUAUAGUUAGCUCGGCUCCGCAUUAGCUAGUUGGUAAGGUAACGGCUUACCAAGGCAACGAUGCUUAGCCGACCUGGGAGGGGGAUCGGCCACACUGGACCUGAGACACAGUCCAGACUCCUACGGGAGGCAGCAGAAGGGAAUCUUCCGCAAUGGGCGAAAGCCUGACGGAGCAACGCCGCGUGAGUGAUGAAGGUCUCCGGAUCGUAAAACUCGGUUAUUAGGGAAGAAGAAAUGGGGAAGUAACUAUGCACGUAUUGACGGUAACUAAUCAGAAAGCCACGGCUAACUACGUG